Molecule: ribosomal RNA, 200 nt
Filed under: uncultured organism
Description: partial small subunit ribosomal RNA
Rfam family: Bacterial small subunit ribosomal RNA
Source: RNAcentral
CGUCAAGUCCUCAUGGCCCUUACGGGCUGGGCUACACACGUGCUACAAUGGCGGUGACAAUGGGCAGCCACUCCGCAAGGAGGAGCUAAUCCCCAAAAGCCGUCUCAGUUCGGAUUGCACUCUGCAACUCGAGUGCAUGAAGCUGGAAUCGCUAGUAAUCGCAGAUCAGCAACGCUGCGGUGAAUACGUUCCCGGGCCUU